AGAUUGAACGCUGGCGGCAUGCCUUACACAUGCAAGUCGAACGGUAGAGUAGCAAUACUUGAGAGUGGCGAACGGGUGAGUAAUAUAUCGGAACGUGCCCAGUCGGGGGGGAUAACGUAGAGAAAUUUACGCUAAUACCGCAUACGAUCUAAGGAUGAAAGCGGGGGACCGUAAGGCCUCGCGCGAUUGGGAGCGGCUGAUAUCAGAUUUAGGUUGUUGGUGAAGGUAAAAGCUCACCAAGCCGACGAUCUGUAGCUGGUUUGAGAGAACGACCAGCCACACUGGGACUGAGACACGGCCCAGACUCCUACGGGAGGCAGCAGUGGGGAAUUUGGACAUGGGCAAAGCCUGAUCCAGCAAUGCCGCGUGCAGGAAGAAGGCCUUCGGGUUGUAAACUGCUUUUGUACGGAACGAACGUCUGCGUUAAUACAGU
Molecule: ribosomal RNA, 433 nt
Filed under: uncultured soil bacterium
Lineage: Bacteria
Description: bacterial SSU rRNA
Rfam family: Bacterial small subunit ribosomal RNA
Source: RNAcentral